This 253-nucleotide ribosomal RNA is filed under the name uncultured bacterium. RNAcentral's name for it is "partial 16S ribosomal RNA". It matches the Rfam family "Bacterial small subunit ribosomal RNA", at positions 524 to 776 of the family's 1533-position model. The record is from RNAcentral.
UACGUAGGGGGCAAGCGUUGUCCGGAAUCAUUGGGCGUAAAGAGCGCGUAGGCGGCCCCGUAAGUCCGCUCUGAAAGUCAGAGGCUCAACCUCUGAAUGCGGGUGGAUACUGCUGGGCUAGAGUCCGGAAGAGGCGAGUGGAAUUCCUGGUGUAGCGGUGAAAUGCGCAGAUAUCAGGAGGAACACCGGUGGCGAAGGCGGGUCUCUGGGCCGAUACUGACGCUGAGGAGCGAAAGCGUGGGGAGCGAACAGG